UUUAACGUCAAAUGGCGAAUUUUUUUUAUAACAUUUAUCAUUAAAAUAUUUUACAUAUUAAUAUUUACAUAUAUAUUUUUCUAGAAAAUUGUAAAAUAAAGAACAAUAUUGGCAAUAUUCUCAACUUAAUUAGCAAGAUUCUAUAUUAGUAGUAGCAAAUAUUUUUCUGAACCUUAAAGGCAAAGAUAUAUUUUUCUAGAAAUUGUAAAAUAAAGAACAAUAUUAGCAAUAUUCUCAACUUAGUAUUAGCAAGUUUCUAUAUUAAUAUUAGCAAAUAUUUUUCUGAACCUUAAAGGCAAAGUACAAUAUUAGCAAUAUUUUCAGGUUAGUAUUAGCAAGAUUCUAUAUUAGUAUUAGCAAAUAUUUUUCUGAACCUCAAAGGCAAAGAUAUUUGACUGCAAGAAGAGGAAGUAUUUUACAAAACAACAUGAAAUAUUAUCUUUUAAAUUUUAUUAUAAAUAGUUAAUUAUGUAUUUUGAUUUGCCUGCAAGGAAUAUCAUUGGGAAAAAAUGAAGAGAUUGUCCCUUCUUUGAUAAAUCAUGUACAAGAAGAUCGAGAGGAUGAUCUCCUUGUUUUACCAUUUUUGGAUGAAAGUUAUAGAUGAAGAAGUUGUAAUCGAUAUCUCCAUUGCAGCUGAUAGCCUAACAGUCCAAUGACAUUAAUACUAUAGACUGCCGAUCGUAAUGCUAAAAUCAAAUUUGAAGUGGCAAAAAUUGAAGUGACUGGUGGCCAUUUUGUAUUUGUAUCUUUUACGAAAGAAGCAUAUGAUAAUUUCAUAAAUUUCAGAUUUCCUAUGAAAGAUAAAAUAUUAUUAUAAAAGUGGACCCAUGCUGUGAAGAGAGAGAACUUCAAUGUAACAAAAUAUAGUAAAUUAUGUUCAAAGCAUUUUACACCAGAUUCAUUUAUUCCAUCUGUUACAAAUCAUGUUCAAUUAAGAGAGGGAGCAAUACCAUCAAUUUUUAAUUUUCCAAAGCCUUCUAAAAGUAACAAAAUAAUGAAUAAUAAAUUAUAACAUACAGGUUUCCUAGAAGCCAGAUUAAUUCAAAAAUACAUGAAUAUUUUAUUUUAUAGAAAUCAAUUCUAGAUUUCUUUUGUAUUUUUAUAAUUUAUGUCUUAUGUCUUUUAUGUUUUAUUUUUGCUUAUAAUUAUGUUAUACGUUAAUAAAUAUAAACUAUCCAUUUCUAAAUAUAUUUCUUUAUUUAAAUUUAAUUCACUAAAGUAUAAAAAUCAAUAAUGUAAAUAUAUAUCAUGAAAAAUACAAAUAAUAUAUAUUAUGUUAUAUUUACAUCAAAUAAAAUAUUUGUAUUAUUAUAAUUAAUAUGUAUCGCGAAAAGAAAAUAUUAAUUCUUAUAAAUCAAUAAUAAAUACAAAUAAUAUAUAUAUGUUAUAUUUAUGUCUAAUAAAAUUAAUUUAUUAUAACCAAUAAAGUCAUUAGAAAUUUUCAGAUAAU
This is a long non-coding RNA of Gordionus sp. m RMFG-2023, 1450 nucleotides long. RefSeq lists it as uncharacterized. The record is from RefSeq and is a predicted model, not a curated record. Lineage: Eukaryota; Metazoa; Nematomorpha; Gordioida; Chordodea; Parachordodidae. The transcript has 7 exons.